GAUGAAGAACGUAGCGAAAUGCGAUAAGUAAUGUGAAUUGCAGAAUUCAGUGAAUCAUCGAAUCUUUGAACGCACAUUGCGCCCGCCAGCAUUCUGGCGGGCAUGCCUGUUCGAGCGUCAUUUCAACCCUCGAGCCCCCCCGGGGGCCUCGGUGUUGGGGGACGGCACACCAGCCGCCCCCGAAAUGCAGUGGCGACCCCGCCGCAGCCUCCCCUGCGUAGUAGCACACACCUCGCACCGGAGCGCGGAGGCGGUCACGCCGUAAAACGCCCAACUUUCUUAGAGUUGACCUCGGAUCAGGUAGGAAUACCCGCUGAACUUAAGCAUAUCAAUAGCGGAGGA
RNAcentral lists this unclassified non-coding RNA (342 nucleotides) under soil metagenome. RNAcentral describes it as "partial contains 5.8S ribosomal RNA, internal transcribed spacer 2, and large subunit ribosomal RNA". The stretch from base 1 to 120 matches the Rfam family "5.8S ribosomal RNA", at positions 35 to 154 of the family's 154-position model. The record is from RNAcentral.